UACGAAGGGGGCUAGCGUUGUUCGGAUUUACUGGGCGUAAAGCGCACGUAGGCGGUUUGUUAAGUCAGAGGUGAAAUCCCGGAGCUCAACUCCGGAACUGCCUUUGAUACUGGCAAGCUAGAGUCCGGAAGAGGUAAGUGGAACUCCUAGUGUAGAGGUGAAUUCGUAGAUAUUCAGAAGAACACCAGGUGGCGAAGGCGG
This 201-nucleotide ribosomal RNA is filed under the name uncultured bacterium. RNAcentral's name for it is "partial 16S ribosomal RNA". It matches the Rfam family "Bacterial small subunit ribosomal RNA", at positions 524 to 724 of the family's 1533-position model. The record is from RNAcentral.